UCCUGGUUCUCAUGUGCCCGUCAAGUCGGGACAGACACACGCUGCACACAAAGUCAACACACUAAUGUGUUUCAGUGAAUGUUAAAACCGAAAGGGAUGCCGGGUAAAUGGGGAGCACAUGAGGACCGUACAUGGUGCCAGUGUACCAGCCGGGGUCUUCUCGACUGUCGGCUGGCACGGGAGGCGACGUGAGGGAGGCGGCACAGGCUGGCAGCAAGACCCGGGUGUGGAGCGCUCCAGGUAACAAGCUGACUUGAGACAGACGAAGGCGGCUUUGGAUGCUGAACUUUCCAUCUGGGCCUCUACUGGGCCGACUGGUGUUGAAGUCUGUCAGCUCGACGGUGUCAUCCAGAAGCCAGGAGACGUUAACGGACGGGGGGCUGAAGCCGAACACCAGACACACAAGUUCACCGGAACCCCGGAGCAAGAUGGCAGACGGCUGGGAAGGAGUCACUGCGGCUGUGGAGAUGAAAGUUGUAAUGCUCUUCACCUCCAAAUACACUUCAUUUUUAGAUGUGUCUUUGGUUAUGACAAAUUGACCGGCAAGAUUUUGGGCAAAUGCUGUGCCAGUUCCGCCAUCGAUUCGUCCGAUCCAUUCCAGUCCUUUUCCCGGCUUCUGACGAAUCCAGUGCAACCAAGCAAGAGCAAGUCCUUGCACUUUACAGGACAGGGUGACUGACUGUCCAGGUCCUUUGACCACUGGCCCAGAGGACGUGAGGGACUGACCCUGAGCAACUGGGAAAGCCAGAUAAGAUUAAAGACUUUCAAAAGAUUCAUUUUCCUUCCCCUGCAUGGUGUAAGCAUCACUCACCUGAAAUGAGAGCCAAAAGGAAGACGAAUCCCGUCAUGGUGGGGGAGUGACUGCAAGAACUCAAUAUGGGAAGUCUCAAUGAGGCAUUUAAAGCAUGCAAGCGGUAUGGGUGUGCACUGAAUUUACAUUUUUAGAAGGCUGGGGUGGGGGCGUGACACAACACAGAUGGUAAAAAGGUUCCGAAGAAGAGUGAUGCUGAUUUCUGUGAAUUUCUUUCCUUCAAUCGACACGGCCUUUGUUGGCCUGGACAUGACAUGCAGAGAUCUUUACAAGGAUCUUCUAUCUUAUGUAUUGUUAGCCACACAUGAAAUGGCAAUUCCAUAGUUGUGACUGUACUGUUGCAUUAUUGCCGUACAUUGUAUUGUAUUGUAUUGUAUGUACUUUAUUUAUCCCACAGCGGGGAAAUUUACUUGUUACAGCAGCAAGACAAGUAAAGAGAACAGUGUAAAGAAAGAAAGCAUAGUGUCUACAACAUGGUUCAGGUGGUGCAGGUGUUGUAGAGCCUGACAGCGGUCGGUAUGAAGGACCUGCGCAACCUCUCCUUCUUACACCGUGGGUGUAACAGUCUGCUGCUGAAGGAGCUGCUAAGGGAACCCACAGUGUCAUGUAGCGGGUGAGAGGUGUUGUCCAUGAUGGAUGUCAGCUUAGCCAACAUCCUUCUCUCCCCCACUUCCUCCACGGAGUCCAGAGGACCGUCCAGGACAGAGCUAGCUCGCCUGAUCAGCCUAUUGAUCCUGCUCCUGUCCCUGUCCGUGCUGCCCCCUCUCCAGCAGCCCACAGCAUAGAAGAUGGCUGAGGCCACCACAGAGUCAUAGAAGGUCCGUAAAAGAGUCCUGCACACACCAAAGGACCUCAGUCUCCUCAGCAGGUGGAGGCGACUCUGGCCCUUCUUGUAGAGGGCGUGGGUGUUGACGGACCAGUCCCGUUUGUUGUUAAGGUGAACACCCAGGAAUUUGUAGCUGUCUACCAACUCUAUGUCCGCUCCCUGGAUGUUCACAUUGUAGCACAAUGGCACAAGAUCAUCACAUCACAUUGUAGUGAUGAUCAAAUGAAUCUUGGAUAAUGUUUGGUCUUUCUUGAUUGAUGAUUUAAUCCUGGACACAAAAGGACACAAAAACCUGACAGGAACAUGAUGGUUUCAUUGAGUGGCUCUAAUAUAAAACUGCAGCCUGUCAAAUCAUUUGCAGUGGAAGUCAUUAUUGAAUUCAUCUUACAGAAAAUACUGGCAAAGUACAGGAAUUUUGUAAAUCCAACAAAAAUACUGUUCGUGUCUGCCGCCAUCACACGUGUUGGACAGAGCUCGUUCCGUACACGGCGGCUGACUUCUCGCUUUUCGUCCUAAUGAAUAUUUACUCUUCUGCCAGUCUUAAAGUUACCAUUUUAACAUUCCCAACUGUCUUCUACAAAUAUAAAGACUUGUUAUAUACGGUGGAAUCUCCGUUAUCUUACAUCCCACUUUGCAUAUUUGUCAAUUGACGUUUACAAAAAAAUUCUGACUCGGUUUGCAUACAUUUGAGCGUGCAAUAAGGUGCGUGUCUUCUAAAUGCAAUUUUAUCGCAGAACGCCAUUGUUAGCAGCCUAUUAGCUUGCUAUUACAUGGAAACAGGAAGCAGGAGUCGGCUCUGUCACCCGUCUAUGAUGUCAUCAGCAGUUGACGCUGUAGUUCUUUGCUAGCUAACACAGUUUUACCAGAAGUCUCAAAAAGGUCAACACAAAAGACGUUUUCAUACUUUUACAAUUACAGUUUUACACGCAUACAUCAAUUCUAAAUGCAUAGAAAUGAUUAACUUUUAAGGGUACUUUUACCUUCAUUCAGCAGUGUUUCUCAUCUUUUUUAUCAAUAUGCUGCAACUUUCUUUGGCUCCAUUUUAGGGGGGUUUUUUGCAGCUGUGCUCAAAAGAAAAGCAGAUAACACAUGGCAAAACAGGAAGGUGGUGUCCGUGUUGAUCUCGCUGCCACAUUGUGUCUUUGUCAACAAUCAGGUGUUCAAUGAAGGUAAAAGUAACCUUAAAUGUUCAUUUAUCCCUUUCAUUCAUCAUUUAUAUGCAUUUAGAAUUGUUGUAUGCAUGUAAAACUACAAAAACGUGUUUUAUGUUAAUGUUUUUGGCUUUCUGGAACAAUGCAUCUUGCCAAUGUUGCCAUGGAACUAUGAAUUAUGGACCAUUUUUGUCAUGCUGUAUGCUUCAUGUGACAUCAUUCAUUCAAGUCGUCAUUCAGAGUGUUGACACACUUUUUGUUUUUGUUGCAGUGUGCUGAUGGUUUGUGUUGUUGUGUGUCUGGCACAGUAAUACACUGCAGUGUCUCCAGGCUGCAUGUUUUGCCCUUUUAGAGUCACUGUUUUGCUGGAGCGCUUUACUUCAAUACUGAACUUGUUCCUCAGUGAGUCCUGGUAGUAAGCAUCGUCAGUAUCUGCCAUCCCAAUCCACUCCAGUCCUCUCCCAGCGGUCUGCCUGACCCACGCUGUGAAGUAGCUGCCCACAUCAUAAGACACCUGACAGUCGAUGCUCAGACUCUGACCAGGCUGCAGAGUCACAGACGGCGGCUGGGUCAGCUGUUCACACUUGACACCUGCGGGGGAAAGAUGUGAAAUAUUAAAUGUGAUGGAUCUUGGCUCACGCGUUCCUCAGUGACACUCACAGGAACCUGCAGCCAGCAACAGCAGCAGAACUAGACGGAGCAUGGUUGGUCCUGAAGGUGUUCCGACGGGCUGGAACUUCUCGUCCCGGAGGACAUGACGGCAAGUUUUAUAGCUCACGGGUGGGAGGUUGACUUUGCAUAGAGACACUCCAGGUGUUCUUCAAGAUGGCGCACAGUGCUCGUAUGCCUCAAAACAUUUGCUCUUCCCGUUUACAGUUUUACUGUUCUUCCUUCUUUUGGCUGUAAAUCCAAUGUAUUAUUAGCAUUACCUGGUUGGGAGUCACUAAACCACAUCAUAUAUAUCACUCUCCUAUUGUUUCGGCAUGAUUCUAAUACAUUUAGUAUUCCCACAGGAGCAAACAUGAGGCAUUAAUGGCAAUGGAAGUCUUUACAGUUGAAUCUAUGUUCAUUUGCAUUUUUACCAAACGUAUACACUCUCAAAUUGCUCCAAUAUUUCACUUUAUAGAUCUCAGCAGUAGGGUACUAUGCUAAAACAUAGAAUUCUUUCCAAUUCUUACAUUCAAGGUCAACACUGACAUUUAACAUACAGGUUGAGAUAUCUACGGUACUUCUUUUUAUAUUUACUAUUAUUGCAAUCUCUUAAAGAGCAUUUGUCUUUCACUAAAACGUAUGUGUUUUUAGAAUAAUAUAAUGUACUGUUAUGUUACCUUAUGUUAUGUUGUCUUAUCUUACGUUGUAUAUGGAUGUAAUUAUAUAAAGGUCUCAAAAAUGGCAACACAAAACACGUUUUUAUAGUUUUGCACUUGUAGUUCUACAUGCAUAAAACAAUUCUACAUGCACAUGAAUGAGAAUGAAAGGGAUAAAUGAACAUUUAAGGUUACUUUUACCUUCAUUCCGUAGUGUUUUACAUCUUGUUUAUCAAAAUGCUGGCACUUGCAACUUUCUUUGGCUCAAUUUUGGAGGUUUUUUGCAGUCAUGCUCAAAAGAAAAGCAGAGGCUGAAGGUGAGAAAUGCUACUGAAUUAAAAAAAAUAACUCAUGGCAAAACAGGAAGGUGGUGUCCAUGUUGAUCUCGCUGCCACCUUGUGUCUUUGUCAACAAUCAGGUCUUCAAUGAAGGUAAAAGUAACCUUGAAUGCUCUUUUAUCUCUUUCAUUCAUCAUUUAUAUGCAUUUAGAAUUGUUGUAUGCAUGUAAAACUAUAAAAAUGGGUUUUAUGUUAACAUUUUGGGCUAUUUUGAACAAAUUCAGUUGACUUGCAUUAUUUCUUAUGGGAAAAAUUGAUUUGGUCGACGUACGUUUUGGUUAGAGUUGGACCCUCUGGAACAGAUUGACACUAACCAAGGUUCCACUUAUAUUUUAAAUGCAUAACCCCAUGUGGGUAAAUAACAAUGCAUCUUGCCAAUGUUGCCAUGGAACUAUGAAUUAUGGACCAUUUUUGUCAUGCUGUAUGCUUCAUGUGACAUCAUUCAUUCACGUCGUCAUUCAGAGUGUUGACACACUUUUUGUUUUUGUUGCAGUGUGCUGAUGGUUUGUGUUGUUGUGUGUGUCUGGCACAGUAAUACACUGCAGUGUCUCCAGGCUGCAUGUUUUGCCCUUUUAGAGUCACUGUUUUGCUGGAGCGCUUUACUUCAAUACUGAACUUGUUCCUCAGUGAGUCCUGGUAGUAAGAGCUGCCCGUAUAUGCGCUCCCAAUCCACUCCAGUCCUCUCCCAGCGGUCUGCCUGACCCACGCUGUGAAGUAGCUGCCCACAUCAUAAGACACCUGACAGUCGAUGCUCAGACUCUGACCAGGCUGCAGAGUCACAGACGGCGGCUGGGUCAGCUGUUCACACUUGACACCUGCGGGGGAAAGAUGUGAAAUAUUAAAUGUGAUGGAUCUUGGCUCACGCGUUCCUCAGUGACACUCACAGGAACCUGCAGCCAGCAACAGCAGCAGAACUAGACGGAGCAUGGUUGGUCCUGAAGGUGUUCCGACGGGCUGGAACUUCUCGUCCCGGAGGACAUGACGGCAAGUUUUAUAGCUCACGGGUGGGAGGUUGACUUUGCAUAGAGACACUCCAGGUGUUCUUCAAGAUGGCGCACAGUGCUCGUAUGCCUCAAAACAUUUCCUCUUCCCGUUUACUUACAGUUUUACUGUUCUUCCUUCUUUUGGCUGUAAAUCCAAUGUAUUAUUAGCAUUACCUGGUUGGGAGUCACUAAACCACAUCAUAUAUAUCAUAUAUAUCCUCUUUUUUUGGAUUCGAUUCUAAUAAAGCCCUGUGAUUGACUGAAGACCAGUCCACGGUGUACCCCGCCUCUCGCCCAAAGUUAGCUGGGAUAGGCUCCAGCAUCCCCCCCGCGACCCUUGUGAGGAUAAGCGUCAUAGAAGGUGGAUGGAUGGGUUCUAAUACAUUUAGUAUUCCCACAGGAGCAAACAUGAGGCUUUACAGUUGAAUCUGUGUUCAUUUGCAUUUUUACCAAACGUAUACACUCUCAAAUUGCUCCAAUAUUUCACUUUAUAGAUCUCAGCAGUAGGGUACUAUGCUAAAACAUAGAAUUCUUUCCAAUUCUUACAUUCAAGGUCAACACUGACAUUUAACAUACAGGUUGAGAUAUCUACGGUACUUCUUUUUAUAUUUACUAUUAUUGCAAUCUCUUAAAGAGCAUUUGUCUUUCACUAAAACGUAUGUGUUUUUAGAAUAAUAUAAUAUUGUUAUGUAAUAUAAUGUAAUUGUAUUUCAUAAUAUGUGCAUUGCAUUUAAUAUUUUAUUAUUGUAUUACAAGUAAAUUAUAUUAUGUUAUAUUAUAUUAUACUA
Long non-coding RNA from Dunckerocampus dactyliophorus (ringed pipefish), 6204 nucleotides. RefSeq lists it as uncharacterized. Lineage: Eukaryota; Metazoa; Chordata; Actinopteri; Syngnathiformes; Syngnathidae. The record is from RefSeq and is a predicted model, not a curated record. The transcript has 3 exons.